AGGGUUCGAGUUCUGGCUCAGGAGUGAACGCUGGCGGCGUGCCUAACGCAUGCAAGUCGAACGAGCGAGAGAUGAACCUAGUGAUUCUCAAGCGAGUGGCGGACGGGUGAGUAACGCGUGGGUAACCUGCCUUACAGAGGGGGAUAACAGUACUGAAAAGACUGCUAAUACCGCAUAAGCACACAGUACCGCAUGGUACAGGGUGAAAAGAUUUAUCACUGUAAGAUGGACCCCGCGUCUGAUUAGCCAGUUGGCAGGGUAACGGCCUACCAAAGCGACGAUCAGUAGCCGACCUGAGAGGGUGAUCGGCCACAUUGGGACUGAGACACGGCCCAAACUCCUACGGGAGGCAGCAGUGGGGGAUAUUGCACAAUGGAGGAAACUCUGAUGCAAGCGACGCCGCGUGAGUGAAGAAGUAUUUCGGUAUGUAAAGCUCUAUCAGCAGGGAAGAUAAUGACAGUACCUGACCAAGAAGCCCCGGCUAACUACGUGCCAGCCGCCGC
Molecule: ribosomal RNA, 503 nt
Filed under: uncultured bacterium
Lineage: Bacteria
Description: bacterial SSU rRNA
Rfam family: Bacterial small subunit ribosomal RNA
Source: RNAcentral